Molecule: ribosomal RNA, 119 nt
Organism: Callithrix jacchus (white-tufted-ear marmoset)
Lineage: Eukaryota; Metazoa; Chordata; Mammalia; Primates; Cebidae
Source: Ensembl
AUCUAUGGCCAUACCACCCUGAGGACGCCCGAUCUCGUCUGAUCUCAGAAGCUCAGCAGGAUCAGGCCUGGUUAGUACUUGGAUGGGAGACCACCUGCGAAUACUGGGUGCUGUAGGCU